GCGUACGUACGUCUGCUCAACACAAACAAGCUAGCUAGCCUAGCUCAGAUCUUCCAUCUGCACGUACGUACCGGCGUAAUUCAGCUGAUUGAUUGACAUAGAUGGAGAACAACAACAAGAACAGCCAGCUACAGCCUCCUCCAGGUUACCCGAGGUUGGAUUCGGAGCAGCACGAAGGGAGGAAGAAGAAGAAGGGGCACUGCUGCGGAUCGUCAUGCCGCCGUGCAACUAAACGCGGGGAGGCCAGCUUUAUUGAAGGAUGCAUUGCGGCGCUCUGUUGCUGCUGGCUCUGCGAACUGUGCUGCGACUGAAGAAUUAAGGAACGAUCGAGCUAUAUAUACUCAGUUUUUUAGAUAACAUAUAUAUGUAUAAAAGCACUAUAUAUUCCAUUAUCUAUAAACUGCCAGUAUGUGUAUCGCAUAUGUAUUUGCUCUCCCUAUUAACCAAAUAUAAUUCAGGUUGUUUUAAUUAUAUGCAUGGGUCGAUGUUUGCCCCUCAUACCUUUUUUUGGAUAAGUUUGUCCCACUGUUAAUUUCACAUAAUAUAUAUUGCUCU
Oryza brachyantha (malo sina) is the source of this 555-nucleotide long non-coding RNA. RefSeq lists it as uncharacterized. Lineage: Eukaryota; Viridiplantae; Streptophyta; Magnoliopsida; Poales; Poaceae. The record is from RefSeq and is a predicted model, not a curated record. The transcript has 3 exons.